Long non-coding RNA from Lontra canadensis (Northern American river otter), 407 nucleotides. RefSeq lists it as uncharacterized. The record is from RefSeq and is a predicted model, not a curated record. Lineage: Eukaryota; Metazoa; Chordata; Mammalia; Carnivora; Mustelidae. The transcript is spliced from 3 exons.
AGAUCAACUUAUUUAGCUACUUUUGAACUUUAUGGGCAUCCCAGAGGAGAGGAAAAGCAGAGGCAAAUGGUAGAAUAUGAAAACGUUUCUUCCUUCAUCAAAACAAUAUAGGUUCUUUCCCAAAUGGCAAAUAUGAAAUUGCAAAGACCUUAUGAAACUGUUGUCAUCUCUCUCAUGGGAAGUCAGCAGCAGGCACUACUAGAGCAAUAGGGAAACAAACUUUUACUUCCCUACUUGAUGCAUCUCCUUCAAUCAAGUCUAUCCCAGGAGAAGAAGGAACAAGGUUGUUGUCAAGCCAAACAGCAGGCUGAGAGAAACAUCACUUUUAACUUAGUGAUAGAGAAGGAGAAAAAAAUAGGCCCAGAAAAAAUAAGUUUACUGUAUAUUCAGAAUCAAACUGUGUAAGU